Molecule: ribosomal RNA, 397 nt
Filed under: uncultured bacterium
Lineage: Bacteria
Description: partial 16S ribosomal RNA
Rfam family: Bacterial small subunit ribosomal RNA
Source: RNAcentral
AUACGUAGGUGACAAGCGUUAUCCGGAUUUACUGGGCGUAAAGGGCGUGUAGGCGGUCUUGCAAGUCAGAAGUGAAAUUCCUGAGCUCAACUCGGGCGCUGCUUCGGAAACUGCAGGACUUGAGUGCUGGAGGGGAUAGCGGAAUUCCUAAUGGAGCGGUAAAAUGCGCAGAUAUUAGGAAGAACACCGGUGGCGAAGGCGGCUAUCUGGACAGUAACUGACGCUGAGGCGCGAAAGUGUGGGGAGCAAACAGGAUUAGAUACCCUGGUAGUCCACACUGUAAACGAUGAAUGCUAGGUGUAGGAGGUAUCGACCCCUUCUGUGCCGCAGUAAACACAGUAAGCAUUCCGCCUGGGGAGUACGGUCGCAAGAUUAAAACUCAAAUGAAUUGACGGGG